GAGUGUAGUUUAAUGGUAGAACCUCAGCCUUCCAAGCUGAUGACGACGGUUCGAUCCCGUUCAC
Molecule: transfer RNA, 64 nt
Filed under: uncultured Anaeroplasma sp.
Lineage: Bacteria; Bacillati; Mycoplasmatota; Mollicutes; Anaeroplasmatales; Anaeroplasmataceae
Rfam family: tRNA
About the family: Transfer RNA (tRNA) molecules are approximately 80 nucleotides in length. Their secondary structure includes four short double-helical elements and three loops (D, anti-codon, and T loops).
Source: RNAcentral